Glycine soja is the source of this 713-nucleotide long non-coding RNA. RefSeq lists it as uncharacterized. The transcript is spliced from 2 exons. The record is from RefSeq and is a predicted model, not a curated record. Lineage: Eukaryota; Viridiplantae; Streptophyta; Magnoliopsida; Fabales; Fabaceae.
AUAUUAUAGCUCUCUUUCCACCCUCCAUCAAAAUCUGAAAGACCACUCUAUCUUCAGAUAGUUCAAAGAUAAAGAAUGCCCCUUUCCCCCACCCUUCUGCAGUGUCUGUCCACUUUAUCCUCAAUGAGAAGCAUCUCCUUAUCAUUCCAAUCCCCAACUGAAAGAGAGUAAUUGAAUGAAUAUAUCCUCAAAUUUCAACAGAAGACAAGUCACAGUAUGGGGCCUUCGUUCCAGCUACAAGGAUAUUGUCCAAAGAGAGCAUAGAAGUGAUUCACUGUGCAGUGAAAUGAUUGGGAUGGCGGACAAGGCUAUGCAGAUAUACGCAUCCAUGAUUGGCCUUCUUCUUCUUCUUCCCCCGAUAAGUUCACUUUCACCAUAUCGUUCAGAUAUCUACAAACAUGACCUCGUGGAAACUCUCAAACAAGACUGUCUUCACUAUGUGGAUUCCCCUCAUGCCAGAACCAGACAUGUCGAUUUCGUAUGAAAUUUUCUAUCAACGAGCGGUUCACGAUGGCGGUUGUUGCAGCAAUCCUGGAAAUUUACAGCGGCAAGCAACAGUCUUGUUUAGAUUGUUUGUGGGUGGUGCUACCGUAUAUCUGAUUCUGAUAUUGAUUUCAGUAUGUUAGAAAAGUAUACUAGUUUUGUUGGCUUCUUCUCAUAUUACUAAACAUUGUUACUCUUAGCAUAUGAACCAUGAUGUUGUACUGAAAAUA